AGCUUAAUGAUUUAUAUAUUAAGUAUUUUCUGCUCAAUGAUUAUUCACUAAUUAAAUAGCCGCAGUACCUUGACUGUGCUAAGGUAGCAUAAUAACUUGGCCUAUAAUUGAGGUCUAGAAUGAAAGGAGAUACCUGUGAGUGACUGUCUUGUUAGGGUUAAUUUGAAGUUUUUUAUUAGGUGCAAAUACCUAAAGGAAUAUAUUAGACGAGAAGACCCUUAGAGUUUUUAUUAGUAUUAUUAUAAUAUUUUUGUUGGGGCAACAUAGGAAUAAUUUAACUUUCUUGAACGUAUAGCAUAACAUGUCGAAUUCAUAUUAAGACUGAAUAUAACUACCUAAGGGAUAACAGCAUUAUCUUUAAUAAGGAUUGUGACCUCGAUGUUGGAUUAGGUAAAUUUGAUAUAAGCAAUAUCAUCUAAAGGUUCUGUUCGAACUUAAACACCU
Molecule: ribosomal RNA, 444 nt
Filed under: Corilla carabinata
Lineage: Eukaryota; Metazoa; Mollusca; Gastropoda; Stylommatophora; Corillidae
Description: partial 16S ribosomal RNA
Rfam family: Archaeal large subunit ribosomal RNA
Source: RNAcentral